This 253-nucleotide ribosomal RNA is filed under the name uncultured bacterium. RNAcentral's name for it is "partial 16S ribosomal RNA". It matches the Rfam family "Bacterial small subunit ribosomal RNA", at positions 524 to 776 of the family's 1533-position model. The record is from RNAcentral.
UACGUAGGGUGCGAGCGUUGUCCGGAAUUAUUGGGCGUAAAGGGCUCGUAGGCGGUCUGUUGCGUCGGGAGUGAAAACUCAGGGCUUAACCCUGAGCCUGCUUCCGAUACGGGCAGACUAGAGGUAUGCAGGGGAGAACGGAAUUCCUGGUGUAGCGGUGAAAUGCGCAGAUAUCAGGAGGAACACCGGUGGCGAAGGCGGUUCUCUGGGCAUUACCUGACGCUGAGGAGCGAAAGUGUGGGUAGCGAACAGG